RNAcentral lists this ribosomal RNA (717 nucleotides) under Bastiania sp. 1 YMX-2020. RNAcentral describes it as "partial large subunit ribosomal RNA". It matches the Rfam family "Eukaryotic large subunit ribosomal RNA", at positions 405 to 945 of the family's 3401-position model. The record is from RNAcentral. Lineage: Eukaryota; Metazoa; Nematoda; Enoplea; Triplonchida; Bastianiidae.
CCGUUUAGAAGCAAACGGGUGGAGCUGCCAUUACCUCUGCCGAAUUCAGCCAGUCGGUGACGGAUAGCCUGCUUGUGAUCGCAAGACAUGAGCACGGUGUUUCCUACCUGCCACCGGCUGGUGUAUUUUCGGUAGAUGUGCGCUACGACCAACUGGGAAGUCAACUAAAGGUCAUUUGAGUGCCGACUGCGGGCUUGCUCGCAGUGUUCCAUCAUUUGAACCUGUUCGAUUUUCCCGGUUGAGUAAACGACCGCGCCCGCUUGUUCUCGGGCUGCUUGCCUUGGGGUCGCUUCUGCGUCUGGUUGUGCUCGCACGACUGGGCGUGCCCCGGUUCUAAAGGCAAGUAGUACUGAGUUGGCGCAUAUGGUCUGUAGCGUCCGAGUCAGCGUCCCACCCGACCCGUCUUGAAACACGGACCAAGGAGUCUAACAUGUGCGCAAGUCAUUGGGUGUAAAACCUAAAGGCGCAAUGAAAGUGAAAGUUAGCUUACGCUAGCUUAGGUGGGAUCCUUGGCUUGUCCAGGGCGCACCACCGUCCCAUCGCAUCUGCUCGUCAGAGCGGUGGAGAAAGAGCGCACACGUUGGGACCCGAAAGAUGGUGAACUAUGCCUGAGCAGGAUGAAGCCAGAGGAAACUCUGGUGGAGGUCCGUAGCGGUUCUGACGUGCAAAUCGAUCGUCAGACUUGGGUAUAGGGGCGAAAGACUAAUCGAACCAUCU